UUAAUCCAUUUAACAACUCAACCCAUCAAAUUAAAUGAGUUAUGGGUUGACCUAACCCAUUUAACAAAAUGAGUUGGGUCAACCCAUAGACCCAACCCAUAACUCAUUUAACCCUAAACUCAUUUGAUUAUGAGU
Molecule: non-coding RNA, 135 nt
Organism: Arabidopsis suecica
Lineage: Eukaryota; Viridiplantae; Streptophyta; Magnoliopsida; Brassicales; Brassicaceae
Source: the annotation of a GenBank genome assembly